Long non-coding RNA from Actinia tenebrosa (Australian red waratah sea anemone), 1229 nucleotides. RefSeq lists it as uncharacterized. The record is from RefSeq and is a predicted model, not a curated record. Lineage: Eukaryota; Metazoa; Cnidaria; Anthozoa; Actiniaria; Actiniidae.
CCAAUCAUAUUUAAGCUUCUUUAAACGUUUUAUUUCUAUUCAUGGAUUACGAGCAAGAGAAUGCCUGCUUUGCACUUUUUAUUUGGCUGAUAGGACUCUGAGUUGUACAAGAAAUAUACAGAGUAUUCCUUGUUCUUCUUGUUCGUCUCAUAGAAUAACCCAAACAUUGUUUCUUUUCUUUCGAUAGUUUUAAACGAGUGCUUUGCAGCUUUUGGUUCUGCAAACAAGGCGCUCUAUUGRAGUCUGAUUUUCCAGCAGCUUGUUUUAAAAGGAAUUUGAAUGCCCCUACGUCAUUCAGAGAAUCGGGAUCAUCUCGAGGGCAUCGGAACGACAUUCCAGACUCUUGUGCAAGUUGCGCAAUGGCGUGACGUGGGAUGACGGUGGCUCAAUGGUCACGUAAAUUUGAUAUCCAGCACGUUGCUGUUAGUUCUCGACCACAUGGAGUAAAUCAUCCAAAACGUACUUAAACAAAGAAAGUUAGCCAAAUAUUGUCGAUAGAAAAGCAGAAUCAGGAAAUGUAUUGUUAGGGAAAACGAGUCUACCAGUAAUGCAGAACAUCGCGUGACUCUUUCCUUCCACCGAAAUAAUACAAACACCUUUAAGCUGUAUUGAUACUUUCUUGUUCGCUUGAACGCAUAAGCAAACAACGGUAUGUACUUGUAAGAUUUCGUUGGAAAUGUUUAUGUGGACAUUCAAUGUAUUAGAUAUUGAAGUUUUAGUAUAAUUUCAGUUUAUAAGACCUUAACAAUCCCUAAAGUUUGAACUCAAACGAAGCUGCUGUUCUAUCGGUGCUACUGACUAAUCUGAAACAUUAAAAUCCCGCGCAUUCGAUAUACAAAAUCGAAUCGCUUUUGUUCUUCUAAGAGCAAGAUAAAAAGAAGCAAAACCGAUAAAAUUUUACACUAUGCUUUGUUUCUUGUCUUGAAACUAUAUAAUGUUCUAUAUUUCUUAUAGCACGAUGACCUUUUUGUCAUGUAUCUCGUUAUCUUGUAACUUAGACUUAUGAAGUGAUGAUGAUGAUAGAUUAAUAUAUAAAACAUUUAUAAGAAGAGUUGAUAGUAAUACUAAAAACAAACAGAAUUCUUAUAUUUUUGAUUUUGAAUUAUUCCUCUUAUCCUAAAGGCACUUUAUAUAUAUAUGCAUAUAUAUCGAAAUUAAGCAAUGUUGUGGCGCAACUGGUGGUAGUACAUAUUUCAUUUGUGGAAUUAAAUUUUUGUCAUAGAAAACAA